Molecule: ribosomal RNA, 332 nt
Filed under: uncultured bacterium
Lineage: Bacteria
Description: bacterial SSU rRNA
Rfam family: Bacterial small subunit ribosomal RNA
Source: RNAcentral
CGCGUAGGCGGUGCCACAAGUCACUUGUGAAAUCUCCGGGCUUAACUCGGAGCCUGCAGGCGAAACUGUGGUGCUGGAGUAUGGGAGAGGUGCGUGGAAUUCCCGGUGUAGCGGUGGAAUGCGUAGAUAUCGGGAGGAACACCUGUGGCGAAAGCGGCGCACUGGACCAUAACUGACGCUGAGGCGCGAAAGCUAGGGGAGCAAACAGGAUUAGAUACCCUGGUAGUCCUAGCCCUAAACGAUGAUUGCUUGGUGUAGCAGGUACCCAAUCCUGCUGUGCCGCAGCUAACGCGAUAAGCAAUCCGCCUGGGGAGUACGGUCGCAAGGCUGAA